AGAAGGACUCUGAAAUUUUCCCAGGUUUCUCUCAGCAGGUUCUUUUAACUCACAGCCAACCACCUGCCCAAGGAGUACUCCUGUCCAGGAAAGGACUUCUAAAUAAUUAAAGUGAUGUCCAUGAGUGAUCUUUUUGCAGCAAAUGAGGUCUGGAGAGAUAUUACCAACUUGGCACUUGAAGAGGAAGAGGAAGGGGAAAGAAUGCAGUGCAUGUUUACACCUGCAUGGCCGGGAUCUGCUGAGGAACUCCACAAUCAUGGGACCAGAGGGCCCUCCCCGUGCAGGGGAACACAAAACAACCAACGGGGAAUGGGAUUGACCAGGCAGUAGGGAAACCCCAUAGGCCGUGCCUCUACUCCAGGGUCCCCUCUCCCUGGACCCCAUGCCAGGGAGGAGGAACCCCAACAUGUGGUAAGUAAAUACUUCUCCUCCUUCAUGGACAAGCACAGUCUAGUCCAGAAGUGGUCAUCAAUCAGGGAUACCCCAACUGCACUGGAAUGCUCCCUGAUGCUCAGAGCCCCAAAAGGCCACUAAAACAAGUGAGGGUAGCUGAAGCUCCCCACAAGACAUUUCCAUGCUCCACAGGUUUCCUUCUGAAGGACAGGUCAUCAGGGAGCUCCAUGUGAUGAUUUUCCUUCUGACUUGCACCAGCAGAGCAGUUGAAGUCAGCCAUAAAGGAGCAUUUGGCACCAGAUCCAAUCAUUCAGCGCUUUGACAGAGUUCACAUCUGAACCCCAGUUACAUUGCCCAGGCUCAUUUCUACCUUUAAAAUCAUGUUCUAGUUAAAUGAUCCCUUUCUACAAACUUAAGAAGGGAAGUGUAAUUUAGAAGAGUGGAAACUAUUAUUUUAAGGUUGAUUAAUUGAGUAGGCACCGUGCUGAACACCACUUCCAGAGGCAAGGGAUGCACUGUGUUACCAAAUGAUUAUUUAAUGACUCAUAAUCCCUGUGCAUGAGAUGUCACUCCUGAGGAAUUAGUUUUAAAUGGGGUAGUGGUGUCUACUCAAGGUGUGGAGCUAGAUGUCAAAUCACUGUAAUAGCUACAUUUUUGCAUCAGCCAACAUCAAAUUUCAGCAGUUUGUGGCUGGAAUCACUAAUGCAUAUACCCACUGCUGGAAUGAUUCAUGACUGCAGAGUAAGAAAAAUGAUUUAAAAAAACCUUUUGGUGCCAAAUGGUAUACUUCAAUAACUUAAACUUUGAACCAAAAUAUUUCUAUUCCUGCUUUUGAAUAUC
Corvus hawaiiensis (hawaiian crow) is the source of this 1233-nucleotide long non-coding RNA. RefSeq lists it as uncharacterized. The transcript is spliced from 4 exons. The record is from RefSeq and is a predicted model, not a curated record. NCBI's taxonomy places the organism in Eukaryota, Metazoa, Chordata, Aves, Passeriformes, Corvidae.